GGCCGAGCCGCGCGAUGACGGGCUCCGCAGCCCUGCCCCCGCCGCUGCGCGGCCGCCCGGCCCGGCGGGAGGCGGGGGGAUUUCCAAGCGCCGGCGGCUCGCCGCUUCCUCUCCUUGUUUUGCUUUCGAUCUGGACCUUUCGCGGCCGAAGCGGAGGGAGUAACUUUUAGUUUUGCUCCCGCGAUUAUUCAGCGCCUGUUUUCAUUUCCAUUUCGCGUCCCCUGGCAACGGCGGUAACCUUGAGGAAUUAUAUAAGUGCCGCGAAGACGCGUUGGAAAGAGAUGUUGUUGACGUAUGGCUGCCAAAAAAGCACUGCAUUUUAGCGUCGUUAUGGUCCGUGCUGUCCCAAGGCAGAAGGGUCCGGGAGUGUUUUCUGAAAACGUCAGGCUUUAUUUUCUUCAGCUCGUGGUCAUUGAGGAGCGCAGGGUAUGUUUUGAUGAAUGCACACAUGCUGUGUUUGCCCUUCUGUGAAAUACAGCUCCCCAGAAGAUGCCCACAGCUCCCUCCAGCUGGACAUCAUCAUGGGCUAUUUUUAGCUGGCUUUGGUUUUACUUUCAGAUAAACAGAUCUUGGAAGCCACUCCUCCCUUCUCACAAGCCAAACUGCUUUUCUGCUUAGCGCUGAGGAAUGGUGCAGGUGAUGGAUGUGAAGGUGUGUGCUACUGGCUGUGGAUUCUGUGCUGGUUCCAGAGGGCUCCAGGCACUGGGAAGGAGAUGAGCAUCUGCAGGGAACAGCUGGUAGAGCCCCUGGGGACGUGAGAGGGAUGUGAGAAAUGUCUCUACCUUGCCGUUCUGAGCAAGGCUCCUUCCUUGUAGCGGUGGUGUCAGCAGUUUCUUCCCUCCUGAAAAGCAUCACUUUUUCACAAAGGCAGCUUUUUUUUUUUUCACCCCCAGGUGGAAUUUGCUGCUGCUAUCUUAGAGGUUAUUUCCUUGCUUUUUGUGUAACUAGUUCAUUCAGAUAGGCUUGAAAUUUGUCUUAGAGGCUUGUUAGCCGCAACACAGGAUGCAUCCUGUGCACUCACUUACAGAUUGAAGUCUGAAGAUUAUAUGUAGUGUUUCUUUGACUUGUCUCAGAGUGUUCAUGUAUUUGAAAGAGUCCUAGGAAGAAAAGCUUAUAAUAUGCUAGUU
This 1127-nucleotide long non-coding RNA is filed under the name Phasianus colchicus (ring-necked pheasant). RNAcentral's name for it is "lncRNA (ENSPCLG00000016628.1)". Lineage: Eukaryota; Metazoa; Chordata; Aves; Galliformes; Phasianidae. The record is from RNAcentral.